Molecule: ribosomal RNA, 482 nt
Filed under: uncultured bacterium
Lineage: Bacteria
Description: partial 16S ribosomal RNA
Rfam family: Bacterial small subunit ribosomal RNA
Source: RNAcentral
AUUGAACGCUGGCGGCAUGCCUUACACAUGCAAGUCGAACGGUAACAGGUCUUCGGAUGCUGACGAGUGGCGAACGGGUGAGUAAUACAUCGGAACGUGCCCGAUCGUGGGGGACAACGAGGCGAAAGCUUUGCUAAUACCGCAUACGAUCUACGGAUGAAAGCGGGGGAUCUUCGGACCUCGCGCGGACGGAGCGGCCGAUGGCAGAUUAGGUAGUUGGUGGGAUAAAAGCUUACCAAGCCGACGAUCUGUAGCUGGUCUGAGAGGAUGAUCAGCCACACUGGGACUGAGACACGGCCCAGACUCCUACGGGAGGCAGCAGUGGGGAAUUUUGGACAAUGGGCGAAAGCCUGAUCCAGCCAUGCCGCGUGCAGGAUGAAGGCCUUCGGGUUGUAAACUGCUUUUGUACGGAACGAAAAGCCUCUUUCUAAUAAAGAGAGGUCAUGACGGUACCGUAAGAAUAAGCACCGGCUAACUACGUG